AAAUGUGGAUCAAGUUGUGCUUUUUAUGGAUUUCUUAUGUUUUGAUUGUUGAAAUAUUUAUGUAGGGUUUGGAGGGUUAUUGGAUUUGGAGGGGGUUUUGAAUUUCGUUGACUUGGGGCAUGACUUAAUUUUGGCCACGGAUGUCAGUGCAUCAGAUUAGAUUCGAGGUGUUGCUGCUGAAUGUGGGUAGAUUCUGAUGAGGUGACUUUAAUUUCUUUUUCAUAUAUUGCUAUGAUUUUUGAACAUGGAUUUGUGGCGAUGGAUGGGGUUGUCGGGAUUGAAAUUCUAAAAGAGUAAUACUUACUGAAUGUGGGUAGAUUCAGAUGCUUGAUGAAAUUUCCAACCAACAAAAGCCUUUUUUCUCGACAAAAGUUAUGUUUUCCAUGUAGUAACAAUGCAUCUUGGAGCGGUCCGUCCUUUUUUCUUUUCGGUAUUGCUAUUGGAAGUACAAAGAUAUGUUUAUAUGUGCUAUCAAUACGCAGAUUAGGGCAUUUGAUUUGUAUUGAAUACCUAUUUGACCCCAGUAUGUUUUUUGUUUUGUGUAGUAUGCUCAGAACAUUGGAGAGGUAUCAAAAGUGCAACUAUGGAGCACCAAAACCACAUGUGUCCUUGAGAGACGGUAGUGAGAAAUGGAAAUCCAUGAUUUUUGAAGUGAGUUUUUUUACUUGUACUCACUCCAUUUCAGUUUUCUAAAGAAAAAAAAAAUUUAAUUAUUGUGAAAUGUUUGGUCUGAUUCUACUUCAUUACUUCAAUGAUCCGCAGGAUAAACAAUUCUGUCAGGACAGAGCUGAGCUGUAGAACUUAAAGCAAAAUAUGUUACAAUUCCGCUACACGCACAGGGUAGAAAACAGGGUUGAGUCCAGGCUGACGUGGCACUUUAAAGAACACCAAAUAUAGAAAACCAAAGAAAAACGCAGCUGUCUUCCCCAAAUCUGUCUACACCAACCGUGACCCACAACCCACGUUUCUCCCAAAAUCGAAAAUCAGAGUCCGUACUGUGUCGUCGCCUCACCAUCUCCGGCAGCCCUGCAAUCGGAGAUAUCUUCGUGGCUUCGGCAGCAAUUUCGUCGACUGUUUCACCACUGGACGGUUCACAUUCUCCGACCGCACUUCAACCAAAGGUUUUGCCUCAGCUUUGGCCGCACUUCGGGCCAUGGUUUCACCACCUCCCGCUUUAUCUCCGGCCGCAUGCUAGAACACUGUGUGAAAACUAAUCUAUCGUUGUAGUCAUAAUUUCAUAUAGACGAAAAGAAACGGUGGUGCUUCUCGUGGUUUGAAUUAAUUUUUUCUCCCCUAUUUUAGCCUCUCAUACUUUACAGGUUAUGCUCGUCUCUCUCUCACUUUACUGUUAUUCAAUUAUUCAUUGCAGCGUAGUUUUCUUUUGUCGUGUUGAUGAAUAAACGUAUUGAAAAAACGCAUAAUCUCAAUAACAAUCAUUUUCUUACUGGCUUUAUUGAUACAAAUUGUGUUUUAACAAUUUUGCAGAUUCAAACCUAAGGGGAAGUUCUAAUUUUCUCCCUUUUCCAAUUUUAGUAAAUGGUAUUGUUUUUGUACGUAAUGGAAGGCUUAUACUGAAUUGAAAAUUCUCAAGGCGUACUUUAAUUUGUUUUCAUAUUACGGACAUGUUGAUGAAGGUCCCCUAUGUUGUGCUUAAUUGUAUGUUCGUAUUCCACCACCUGCCGAACAAAUUUAAAACAUUAAAAUACUCUUCCACUAAAUGAGCUUCUCUGUUUCUUGAUUUCUUAAAAUGAAUUUUAAUUGGCUUAUAUGAUGUGUGAUUACUCUUUUAGAGUUUCAAGUUCCAAUUGGAUCAUUAAUGCGUGUUUUACCUCUACUUAUUUAUUUGAAUUGACCGUGAUCUGUGGUUUAUUCUCCUUGUAGAGUGGGCGGACAAAAUUAUGGAAUUUGUCGUAGUUGUAUAGCUAAGGGGUCAGCAUGAAGAUAUGGAGCGCAUGUUCCCCUCAUAGAAUGGACGAACGAAAGAGUUGAAAAUAAGGAACACAUGUUCCAAUCUCUCGAGUUCGUCUCAAUGAUGAAGAACUACAAAUUUUGAUGACCGUGACAAUUAGCAAAGUGAAUGGUAGCGCGGAAGGAAAGGCCAAAGGAAAGGGGCCAGCAUGAGUAGCAGGAAUUAAUCGAAUGGCCUAUCACAUGGAGAUUUAGGCAAUUACAUCUUUUGUGUUCUAUUGUUGUGUAAAAUUGUUUUGGCAGUUCAAUGUAGCUAGACAGUGUUAAAAUCCAUUGUUCUUGUUCGAAGCUUCGAAGUUAUGAUUUGUGAAGAAUGUUAAAACCCACGUUUCUUGUGCAAAAUGUUAUGAUUUUAACUGGACAACAGUGAAGCACACACAAGCAAUAUCUUUGUUAAAAUCCACGUUUCUUGGUAAACAUUCUUUCAAUUUCUUAGUUUUCUGUUAUUUGUUCCAGAAUGAUGUUCAAGUUUAUCUUUUUGUAAUAUCUUUAUGCCA
RNAcentral lists this long non-coding RNA (2465 nucleotides) under Olea europaea subsp. europaea. Lineage: Eukaryota; Viridiplantae; Streptophyta; Magnoliopsida; Lamiales; Oleaceae. The record is from RNAcentral.